GGCCUGCUAGCUCAGUCGGUUAGGGCGUCGUGCUAAUAACGCGAAGGUUGUAGGUUCGAUCCCUGCGCAGGCCA
Molecule: transfer RNA, 74 nt
Filed under: Dermacentor silvarum
Lineage: Eukaryota; Metazoa; Arthropoda; Arachnida; Ixodida; Ixodidae
Description: transfer RNA isoleucine (anticodon AAU)
Rfam family: tRNA
About the family: Transfer RNA (tRNA) molecules are approximately 80 nucleotides in length.
Source: RNAcentral